GGGUUGUGAGGUUAAGCGACUAAGCGUACACGGUGGAUGCCCUGGCAGUCAGAGGCGAUGAAGGACGUGCUAAUCUGCGAAAAGCGUCGGUAAGGUGAUAUGAACCGUUAUAACCGGCGAUGUCCGAAUGGGGAAACCCAGUGCAAUUCGUUGCACUAUCGUUAACUGAAUACAUAGGUUAACGAGGCGAACCGGGGGAACUGAAACAUCUAAGUACCCCGAGGAAAAGAAAUCAACCGAGAUUCCCCCAGUAGCGGCGAGCGAACGGGGAGCAGCCCAGAGUCUGAAUCAGCUUGUGUGUUAGUGGAACGGUCUGGAAAGUCCGACGGUACAGGGUGAUAGUCCCGUACACCAAAAUGCACAGGUUGUGAACUCGAAGAGUAGGGCGGGACACGUGGUAUCCUGUCUGAAUAUGGGGGGACCAUCCUCCAAGGCUAAAUACUCCUGACUGACCGAUAGUGAACCAGUACCGUGAGGGAAAGGCGAAAAGAACCCCGGCGAGGGGAGUGAAAAAGAACCUGAAACCGUGUACGUACAAGCAGUGGGAGCACCUUCGGGUGUGACUGCGUACCUUUUGUAUAAUGGGUCAGCGACUUAUAUUCUGUAGCAAGGUUAACCGUAUAGGGGAGCCGCAGGGAAACCGAGUCUUAACUGGGCGUUAAGUUGCAGGGUAUAGACCCGAAACCCGGUGAUCUAGCCAUGGGCAGGUUGAAGGUUGGGUAACACUAACUGGAGGACCGAACCGACUAAUGUUGAAAAAUUAGCGGAUGACUUGUGGCUGGGGGUGAAAGGCCAAUCAAACCGGGAGAUAGCUGGUUCUCCCCGAAAGCUAUUUAGGUAGCGCCUCGUGAACUCAUCUUCGGGGGUAGAGCACUGUUUCGGCUAGGGGGUCAUCCCGACUUACCAACCCGAUGCAAACUACGAAUACCGAAGAAUGUUAUCACGGGAGACACACGGCGGGUGCUAACGUCCGUCGUGAAGAGGGAAACAACCCAGACCGCCAGCUAAGGUCCCAAAGUCAUGGUUAAGUGGGAAACGAUGUGGGAAGGCACAGACAGCCAGGAUGUUGGCUUAGAAGCAGCCAUCAUUUAAAGAAAGCGUAAUAGCUCACUGGUCGAGUCGGCCUGCGCGGAAGAUGUAACGGGGCUAAACCAUGCACCGAAGCUGCGGCAGCGACACUAUGUGUUGUUGGGUAGGGGAGCGUUCUGUAAGCCUGCGAAGGUGUGCUGUGAGGCAUGCUGGAGGUAUCAGAAGUGCGAAUGCUGACAUAAGUAACGAUAAAGCGGGUGAAAAGCCCGCUCGCCGGAAGACCAAGGGUUCCUGUCCAACGUUAAUCGGGGCAGGGUGAGUCGACCCCUAAGGCGAGGCCGAAAGGCGUAGUCGAUGGGAAACAGGUUAAUAUUCCUGUACUUGGUGUUACUGCGAAGGGGGGACGGAGAAGGCUAUGUUAGCCGGGCGACGGUUGUCCCGGUUUAAGCAUGUAGGCUGGUUAUCCAGGCAAAUCCGGAUAAUCAAGGCUGAGGUGUGAUGACGAGGCACUACGGUGCUGAAGUAACAAAUGCCCUGCUUCCAGGAAAAGCCUCUAAGCAUCAGGUAACAUCAAAUCGUACCCCAAACCGACACAGGUGGUCAGGUAGAGAAUACCAAGGCGCUUGAGAGAACUCGGGUGAAGGAACUAGGCAAAAUGGUGCCGUAACUUCGGGAGAAGGCACGCUGGUGUGUAGGUGAAGCCCCUGCGGGUGGAGCUGAGACCAGUCGAAGAUACCAGCUGGCUGCAACUGUUUAUUAAAAACACAGCACUGUGCAAACACGAAAGUGGACGUAUACGGUGUGACGCCUGCCCGGUGCCGGAAGGUUAAUUGAUGGGGUUAUCCGUAAGGAGAAGCUCUUGAUCGAAGCCCCGGUAAACGGCGGCCGUAACUAUAACGGUCCUAAGGUAGCGAAAUUCCUUGUCGGGUAAGUUCCGACCUGCACGAAUGGCGUAAUGAUGGCCAGGCUGUCUCCACCCGAGACUCAGUGAAAUUGAACUCGCUGUGAAGAUGCAGUGUACCCGCGGCAAGACGGAAAGACCCCGUGAACCUUUACUAUAGCUUGACACUGAACAUUGAGCCUUGAUGUGUAGGAUAGGUGGGAGGCUUUGAAGCGUGGACGCCAGUCUGCGUGGAGCCAACCUUGAAAUACCACCCUUUAAUGUUUGAUGUUCUAACGUUGGCCCCUGACCGGGGUUGCGGACAGUGUCUGGUGGGUAGUUUGACUGGGGCGGUCUCCUCCCAAAGCGUAACGGAGGAGCACGAAGGUUAGCUAAUCCUGGUCGGACAUCAGGAGGUUAGUGCAAUGGCAUAAGCUAGCUUGACUGCGAGCGUGACGGCGCGAGCAGGUGCGAAAGCAGGUCAUAGUGAUCCGGUGGUUCUGAAUGGAAGGGCCAUCGCUCAACGGAUAAAAGGUACUCCGGGGAUAACAGGCUGAUACCGCCCAAGAGUUCAUAUCGACGGCGGUGUUUGGCACCUCGAUGUCGGCUCAUCACAUCCUGGGGCUGAAGUAGGUCCCAAGGGUAUGGCUGUUCGCCAUUUAAAGUGGUACGCGAGCUGGGUUUAGAACGUCGUGAGACAGUUCGGUCCCUAUCUGCCGUGGGCGCUGGAGAAUUGAGGGGGGCUGCUCCUAGUACGAGAGGACCGGAGUGGACGCAUCACUGGUGUUCGGGUUGUCAUGCCAAUGGCACUGCCCGGUAGCUAAAUGCGGAAGAGAUAAGUGCUGAAAGCAUCUAAGCACGAAACUUGCCCCGAGAUGAGUUCUCCCUGAGACUUUAAGUCUCCUGAAGGAACGUUGAAGACGACGACGUUGAUAGGCCGGGUGUGUAAGCGCAGCGAUGCGUUGAGCUAACCGGUACUAAUGAACCGUGAGGCUUAACCUUACAACGCCGAAG
Molecule: ribosomal RNA, 2923 nt
Filed under: Klebsiella pneumoniae
Lineage: Bacteria; Pseudomonadati; Pseudomonadota; Gammaproteobacteria; Enterobacterales; Enterobacteriaceae
Description: bacterial LSU rRNA
Rfam family: Bacterial large subunit ribosomal RNA
Source: RNAcentral